GAUGAACGCUGGCGGCGUGCCUAAUACAUGCAAGUCGAGCGAACAGACGAGGAGCUUUCUCCUCUGACGUUAGCGGCGGACGGGCGAGUAACACGUGGAUAACCUACCUAUAAGACUGGGAUAACUUCGGGAAACCGGAGCUAAUACCGGAUCAUAUAUUGAACCGCAUGGUUCAAUAGUGAAAGACGGUUUUGCUGUCACUUAUAGAUGGAUCCGCGUCGCAUUAGCUAGUUGGUAAGGUAACGGCUUACCAAGGCAACGAUGCGUAGCCGACCUGAGAGGGUGAUCAGCCACACUGGAACUGAGACACGGUCCAGACUCCUACGGGAGGCAGCAGUAGGGAAUCUUCCGCAAUGGGCGAAAGCCUGACGGAGCCACGCCGCGUGAGUGAUGAAGGUCUUCGGAUCGUAAAACUCUGUUAUUAGGGAAGAACAAAUGUGUAAGUAACUAUGCACGUCUUGACGGUACCUAAUCAGAAAGCCACGGCUAACUACGUG
This 497-nucleotide ribosomal RNA is filed under the name uncultured bacterium. RNAcentral describes it as "partial 16S ribosomal RNA". It matches the Rfam family "Bacterial small subunit ribosomal RNA", at positions 28 to 507 of the family's 1533-position model. The record is from RNAcentral.